Ictidomys tridecemlineatus (thirteen-lined ground squirrel) is the source of this 2500-nucleotide non-coding RNA. The record is from RefSeq and is a predicted model, not a curated record. Lineage: Eukaryota; Metazoa; Chordata; Mammalia; Rodentia; Sciuridae.
CACUGCCUCUCGGCGAAGGGCAAACGCUUCCUCGGAUCUAACAUCUCAGUUCUGUAAUUCUUAAUCCCCAGGAGACAGAAUUUGAUUUGUUCUUCUUGGGCCACACAGUUCUCGGCGGACACAACAUCUUUGUUGGUAUGUGGUGCUGAGGAUCGAACCCGGGCCGCACGCAUGCUAGGCGAGUGCGCUACCGCUUGAGCCACAUCCCCAGCCCCAUAGACCAAGAUUUAAUCUGUGAAGCUCUGCCUUGAGAGAGCAGAAGUUGAAGAGCAAGUGGAGAAAAACUACCCUCCUUGGUGGCUGAGGCAGAGGAACCCGGAGGCUGCAGCGGCUGACAGGGCUGAGCUUGGCAGGAAACCCUGCUCUCUGGCCAAAGAAAGCAGAAGACGUCCCUGGGUCACACUGCAAAGCUGUCAGAGAGAAGCUGACAGCAGGCCCUGAAGAGGCCUAUCCUGAAGGGCUCUGACGACACUGGCAACAGGCCUCGACUCAGAAAACCAGAUGAACACUUGGAUUUCUACUGCAGGCAGGAGCUAAGACCAGCAUCGUGGAGGUGAGGACAUUGAGAACAAAGGGGAGAGCUUAGCAGGUAGGGCAGGAAACCCUGACCCUGGGGGAUGAGGGGACCCUCUCAACCGUGUCUUGUGAUGGAAAAGCAACAGUUUGACCAACAAGCUGGGCGUCAGUACCUCCACAGCCAUGGCCAUUCCUGGCUCCUGAUGCGAACCUCCCCCAGCCCCCCUCCUGGCUGCUGACUGUCCUAGGAUGGGGCUGGACACAGAUGCAGAACUUGGACUUUUAACCUCUUCAUCCUCUAUUAUGGUCAUUGCCUUCCGCAGUCUUUUGUUCAAACAAACCAGAGAUUUCCACCAAGUGACAGGCCAGGGAGGGUCUGAGAAGGGGUGAUGAGGCUGAUGAAGCUGCUUUUUGACCAUAGGAGUCAGCUACCCAGGCUGUUUCUUUGAGCCUCAGAUAAUUUAGUUGAAUGAAUUUGGACAGUUCACUGCAUCUGCCCACAGGGUUCCACUCACCUUCCAAAAUGCCUCUGAGGGCUGGGGAUAUAGCUCAGUUGGUAGAGUGCUUGCCUCACAUAUACAAGUCCCUGGGUUCAAUCCCCAGCACCACCAAAAAAUAUAUAUAUAUAGAUAUACACACACACACACACACACACACACACAUAUAUACAUAGCUUCCAAAAAUAGCACUAGCUACAGAAGCCAAAAAGGAAACUUGAAAAGUAAUAAACGACAAGGCCCCAGAGAUGUCUGCCCUUUUAGAAAAGUCUGAGUGAACUUCUCCAAGGAAAGUUUAAGCUUAAAAAAAAAACAAUUCCCAGAAACACUUUUUCCCUUUCUCAUUGAGGAAUCAGGCAAAGAAAGACACCACAGAGACAAGCACGCGCUUGUGUGAGCAGAAGGACCAGGUCUUCAUGGGAUUGGCAUUAAAAAUGUACUUUGUAUACUUGUUCCUUGAAUUGAGGUCAUCUACACACAAAGUAUUGGAACUGUUUCCCUGUCAGGGUCACCAAAAAGCUACCCGGAUAUUUACUGCUAUUUCAAGGAAACUCCACAGACCCAGUCCCAUCCUCUAGUAGCUCCCCAUCAGACAUGGCCAGUCACACUGGGAAGCCACCAGUGAGCCCUGCCCCUGCACACGUGCACACACGCACACGCACACAUGAACAGUCACACACACACACACAUACACACACACACACGUACACGGUCACAGCACCACACUGUAGUCCCUCAUCGCCUGGACCCUGCUCUCCAGGCCUCCACUGAGAACUCCCUUCCUCCUCCACACCCCUUCCUGUGCGCCCUGCUCUAGAGCCAGAUGUUCCGUGGGCAGACCCCUCUGUGGGCUGACAGGCGGUGAUUACUGUUGCCAGCCCCACAUUAGGAGAGAAUUGAAUGGGAGUGAGCCCCCUCCGCCAGGGCUCCCUACAAUAGAGCCUUUGUGAGGUGCCUCCCUGCCUUUCUUCCUCCUUCCUCACCAACCUACGUCAGGAGCAGCUCUGUCUGAGGAGAAAAGAACAAGAAGACAAAAGGAGGAUCGCAGGCCCUGAAGGAUCCACCCUGUCCUGGGCGGAGGGAGGGAGGACUGCACUUUGGAGAGAAGACUGUGUUCCUCCCCCCUCCAGCAAGGAUAAAUAACCCAGAGUGCUCCCGGGGCUACCUCAGGCAAAUGAGGCUAGUGCCUUUUGUCCAUCAGGCUCCUGCGUGCUGAACAUUGGGGGCCAUAGUGCAGAGAUCAGCAGAAGCCUGAAGCUCCCCCGCCCCCCAGAUCUUGUUUUCCCCAGAUGGUCAUGUGCAAUCCUGUGCCAGAGGCUGGGAAGGGUUAAGUUCCCAGUUCUCCAGGACAGUCUGCAGUCAGGUCCCAGGACUGGGUUGCUAGGUGGAGUGAUGCGGUGGAGAGAAGGGGAUGUGUUGGGGAACUGGUGAGACCAACAUCUGGGAUAGCCACUGCCCCUCCUCCAGGCCCAAACCGCAGACGCUGU